Molecule: long non-coding RNA, 1692 nt
Filed under: Erythranthe guttata (spotted monkey flower)
Lineage: Eukaryota; Viridiplantae; Streptophyta; Magnoliopsida; Lamiales; Phrymaceae
Description: long non-coding RNA (EGUT_LNC001596)
Source: RNAcentral
AAAAUAAUGGUUUACAGAGCUUUGUCUGAAGAUCUCCACCUCCUGCGGCCGCCGCCUGAACCUCCCCCGCCGAGGUCUGCUCUUCACUUCCGAUCAUAUAUAUAUAUAUAUAUAUAUAUAUAUAUAUAUAUAUAUGGUUUCUUUUUUCCGUCUUUCUUUUUUCUUGAUUGAAUUUAUUUCUGUCAAUUAGUUGAUAUAUGGAUUUCAAAUUUUUUUUUUUGUUCUUCAUGUUUGAUUUGUGGUGAUGAAUUGGAUCUUAAAUGUUCUGAAAGUCUUAAUUAGUUACGAUGAUGUUUUUCAAAUUUUGUGGUGAUUUGAAAUUCUUAAACCGAUUAAUGAUAUAUAUCAUACAUGGAUUUAAUUAAGAUGUAUUAGAUCUUAAUAACAAUAUUUAUUAUUGGAUCUUGGUAUUAAGAUGUUUUCCAUCUUCAUUUCUUGAUUAGUUUGUUGCAUGCAAAAGUUCAUUGGAUUGAAUUUAUUUAUUCUAUAUAAUUUAUAUGUAUGAAUUUAAUUAAGAUGUUCGAUUUGCGGAUUUAUGGAGGAAGUUUAAUUUACGACUUCUCUUUUCUUUUCUUUUUUGGUUUUUGGCAAAUAGAUGGAGGAGAAAUAUAUCGAACAAUAUUCUUGUCAGCGGAAACGGUAAAAUCAAUUUUCUUUUACCAAAUUUCUCACAAAGUUAACUUUUUUAAUUGCAUCAGUUGUUUCACUAUAUUUUUUAACAAAAAAAUAUAGUUCAUUAUGUACAAAGUUUAUGAACUGAUCACUCUCGUGUUUUUAUUGUUGUUGACCAACCGAUGAAUUCCAGAACUGUUUCGUUAGUGGAGUCAUUCAUACUGUUGGAGCGGUGGAAAAGAUUUGAGGUUAGUUGUGGCACAUCGCAUUGUUUUUCCUCUCUAUAAUUAACCGAUUUAAUUUAUAUUUAAUUUUAUUUCCAUUGCCUCUGUGAACUUGACUUCUCAAGUAUUUCGCAUUGAGUUCAUUAUUCAAAUUUCUUUUUAUGCAUGCAGCCCAACAGAAAUUGCAGCAAAUGCGAGCACCGAAGCGAAAGCAGCUACUGGCUACAAUAUUUAACUGCAUUGCUUAAAAUUUGUGAGUCAACAUUUGUAUUUAUUAUCUAAAUCUUGAAUUUGUCGGGCUUCUUUUUUCUCUCUCUGCUUAUUUUUAGCGUUGUAUUGAUUGUCUUCACUGCCCACCGCUAGUUGUUAGUUAGUCUACCGGUAUAUACUUAUCUUUAUUGUAAUAACAAUAAUCAAAAAGUAUCGGUAGUUACCAUUUUUUUUCUUUUGUAUGUUCCUCUUAACAUUAUCUUCGUACCCGUUUUUAUGAAACUUCGAUUGUAUCAUAAACACUGGAUUUUGCAUCUUUACACAUUUUUUUAUUUUGCAUGUCAAGAUAUUAAUUUGCCUACCAAUGGAUAGUUCUAAAGCCCUUUUGGGUAUAUAAAUUAAGUUGAGUGAUUAAUGUAGUAAAAAUUGCAAAUUGAAUACAUGAUUUUUUGGAAAAAGCUAACUACACUACAGCGUGCAUGAUGUAUCUGUAUAUCUAUCUAUUUAUGUGUAUUUUCCUGUGUUUUUUUAAAUGAUAAUCGUGUAUUUGAGUUUCUUGGGAAUACAUAAAAUUCUUAUUUGACAUAGAUUUUUCUUCUUCUUUUUGUAGACCACGACAACGUGUUGCUCACUUCAACUAAGCCGA